CCUACGGGUGGCAGCAGUGAGGAAUAUUGGUCAAUGGCCGCGAGCCUGAACCAGCCAAGUCGCGUGAAGGAUGACGGCUCUACGGGUUGUAAACUUCUUUUAUAAAGGAAUAAAGUUAGGCACGUGUGGCUUUUUGCAUGUACUUUAUGAAUAAGCAUCGGCUAACUCCGUGCCAGCAGCCGCGGUAAUACGGAGGAUGCGAGCGUUCUCCGGAUUUAUUGGGUUUAAAGGGAGCGUAGGUGGGUUGUUAAGUCAGGGGUGAAAGUUUGUGGCUCAACCGUAAAAUUGCAAUUGAAACUGGAAGUCUUGAGUACAGUUGAGGUAGGCGGAAUUCGUGGUGUAGCGGUGAAAUGCAUAGAUAUCACGAAGAACUCCGAUUGCGAAGGCAGCUUACUAAGCUGCAACUGACAUUGAUGCACGAAAGUGUGGGUAUCAAACAGGAUUAGAUACCCGUGUAGUC
This 460-nucleotide ribosomal RNA is filed under the name uncultured bacterium. Its description in RNAcentral is "partial 16S ribosomal RNA". It matches the Rfam family "Bacterial small subunit ribosomal RNA", at positions 338 to 795 of the family's 1533-position model. The record is from RNAcentral.